GAGCUAGUAGAGUGGAAACGGGUGAGUAACGCGUGGGUAACGUACCCUGAUCCUGGGAAUAGCCGUCGGAAACGAGGGCUAAUACCGAAUGUGGCGAACGACCGGUUGGUCGCUCGCUAAAGGUGGCCUCUUCUAUGCUGCCGGGUUGGGAUCGGCCCGCGUCCCAUUAGCUAGUUGGUGAGGUAACGGCUCACCCAAGGCACGAUGGGUAACCGGGCUGAGAAGGUUGUCGGCCACCCUGGCCCUGAGACAAGGGCCAGUCCCCCAUGGGAGGCGCAGGCGGGAAUAGUUCACAAUUGGGCGAAAAGCCUGAUGACGCGACGCCGCGUGAGCGAAGAAGACCUUCGGGUUGUAAAGCUCUGUCAGGAGGGAAGAAGGCUCUACGGGUUAAUAGCCCGUGGAAUUGACGGUACCUCCAGAGGAAGCCCCGGCUAAAUACGUGCCAGCAGCCGCGGUAAUACGUAUGGGGCAAGCGUUGUCCGGAUUUACUGGGCGUAAAGGGCGCGUAAGGCGGGUUGUUAAGUCGAAGGUGAAAUCCUCGGGCUCAACUCGAGAAUUGCCUUCGAUACU
This 570-nucleotide ribosomal RNA is filed under the name uncultured organism. Its description in RNAcentral is "bacterial SSU rRNA". It matches the Rfam family "Bacterial small subunit ribosomal RNA", at positions 85 to 634 of the family's 1533-position model. The record is from RNAcentral.